This 497-nucleotide ribosomal RNA is filed under the name uncultured bacterium. RNAcentral's name for it is "partial 16S ribosomal RNA". It matches the Rfam family "Bacterial small subunit ribosomal RNA", at positions 28 to 507 of the family's 1533-position model. The record is from RNAcentral.
GACGAACGCUGGCGGCGUGCCUAAUACAUGCAAGUUGAGCGCUGAAGGUUGGUACUUGUACCCACUGGAUGAGCAGCGAACGGGUGAGUAACGCGUGGGGAAUCUGCCUUUGAGCGGGGGACAACAUUUGGAAACGAAUGCUAAUACCGCAUAAAAACUUUAAACACAAGUUUUAAGUUUGAAAGAUGCAAUUGCAUCACUCAAAGAUGAUCCCGCGUUGUAUUAGCUAGUUGGUGAGGUAAAGGCUCACCAAGGCGAUGAUACAUAGCCGACCUGAGAGGGGGAUGGGCCACAGUGGGACUGAGACAAGGCCCAAACUCCUACGGGAGGCAGCAGGAGGGAAUCUUCGGCAAUGGACGAAAGUCUGAACGAGCAACGCCGCGGGAGUGAAGAAGGUUGUCGGAUCGUAAAACUCUGUUGGUAGAGAAGAACGUUGGUGAGAGUGGAAAGCUCAUCAAGUGACGGUAACUACCCAGAAAGGGACGGCUAACUACGUG